RNAcentral lists this long non-coding RNA (2950 nucleotides) under Podarcis lilfordi (Lilford's wall lizard). Lineage: Eukaryota; Metazoa; Chordata; Lepidosauria; Squamata; Lacertidae. The record is from RNAcentral.
ACUUCCGGGGGCGGCGCGAACGGCAAUGGCGGUCCUCUUCUGAACGGGAGAGGAGGCUCCACAGACAACGGGUCGUCCGCUACGGCGAAGCGGAGACCCACAUCGGAAAACCCCAGGCAGCAAGAGCUUGGGGUCUUGGGGCUCGGUGGGCGCCUUGAGCGACCCUCCAAACGCGAAAGGAACCCCGUAAGGGGCUCCGGAGCGUGGAGGGGGGUUGCGGCGCUGAGAGCUGCUUCACAGUCUGUGGAGCGAAGCCGCGCUGCUGCUGCCGGUGAGCGCUGAUCCCUUUUCCUGUCAAAAUACGGAUUCGGAUGAAAAGCAACCUAUUCGUGAGUAAAGACUGAAUCACUUGAAAUUAGAGACUUUAAACGAAAAAUCUUAAUUGGCUUGAAGAGACGGAGAGACGUGGAAACAGGAAGUCCGUCUUUCGCAGCCAUUGAACUUGAAAAAAGCAACUAGCUGGAGGAGUGGAGGCUGAAAGAAAGAGAUUUUAAACUUUACAGAUCUAAGCAUCUACUGAACUUGCAAUUUAAAGUAAAGACUUUAAGUUAAAGAUUUGGAAUUAUUACUUGCACUUGACUUUCCUCCUUUUAUUGGAUUACAAAUUAGAAGGUGAAACCCAGAGUCAGGAGCUGCCUGAGCAUUGAGAGAUUGAGCUGUCAGUAUUGCAGAUUUGGAUACUGUAUAUUGGAACUUGCAACAAUCUGAGGGUAUUGAGACCUUUUAAAUUUGAAACAUUCUUUUUCGAGACAAAUAAGCACUGUCUGUAACAAAGUGACCAUUUAUAAACUCUGCUAAACAUUUGUAUCUGAAGGUUCUUGGAUAUUAAAUUAGACUCUGAAAGACAUUUUAAGCUCCCUCUAGAGGAUUGGAUUAAAACAGUGACUUUACAUGUAUAUUUACUUUUGAUUCCCUUGUUGUUUGCUGCUCUGGGCCUUUCCACUCCCAUGGGAAAAACUCAGUGUGACCUUGACCGAUAGAUAACGUUGGAAUGAGUGGCACAAGAAAAAGAGGGAGAGUUAGACAAACAACUUUAACAACUCUAACCUCAGCCUCGCAGACACGUAGAUCAUCUGUACCUACUUUGCCCUCAGAAGUAGAAGUUGAAGAAGUUGCCUUGUUACAGGCAAAAGAGGGAGAGGGUGAAGCAGAGCAGUUACAAUUGGAAGAUAUGGCCUCAGGAGUAUCUGUUUCUGUUCUAGACAAAAUCUUUGAAAAAUUGGAAGCUUUGGACAAGAAAGUAGAUGUGCAAUCAGCAAAGAUUGACAAAAAUACAGAAUGUCUAAAUAAAUUAACCAUACAAGUGGUACAGAAUACACAAGCAAUUGGACAGUUAACGGAGGCCUCAGCAGAAAAUCGGAAAUUGGCUGAGGACACCAGACAAAAAUUGGAAAAUUUAGAGCAAGAGGUAAGACCACUCACUAAACAAGUUGGGGAACAUCAGAUUUAUCUUUCUAUGAUAGAACUGCGAAAUCGUGAGAAUAAUUUGAGGAUUAGAUCAUUACAAGAGGCAGAAGAAGGAAAUUUAACUGAAUUUUUGACCAAAGAAUUCUCCAAGUUCUGGAAUUUGGAAGAAAAGGACUUUAAAAUUGUGUCAGCUUUCAGACUUGGAAGAUUCAUAAAGAAGGAGAGGCCCAGAGACUGUUUGAUAACAUUGAGAUCAAAGGAGGAAAGGGAUAAGAUUUUGGGCCUACAUUACGGAAAGUCACUGGAGGUUUUGGACAGAAGAAUUGAAAUAUAUAAAGAUAUUCCAAGACAACUGCUGGAUCUUAGAGCCGCCUAUUCUGAACUUGCUAAACUACUAAGGAGCAACGCAAUUCCAUUCAGGUGGGAAUUUCCCCAAGGAAUAUCUUUUACUUUUAGAGGGAGAAAGGUCAAAGUUAGAACAUUGGAAGAGAGAGACAAAUUUUUGACUACAUACGGAGAGGACCUUCAAAAGGAAUUGAAUUACCUUCUGGGCCUGGGGCAACGCCAGCAUUAACACCAGCACCUGGGGAACCUGAAGAUUCAGAGAAGAUACCACCCCUGGAGAAAUAACCAGAUUGAUCCAGGAUGUCUCUGCAAUUGCUGAGUUGGAAUAUUAAUGGUUGUAACAUUCCGGAAAAAAGGAAGAAAAUAUUUCACAUAUUAAAAAAAGAACAAUUGGACAUUAUCUGUUUACAAGAAACACAUGUGACGAGGCUCCAUAGAAAAGUGUUAAUAAAUAAAAGAUUGGGCCAGGAAUUUGUAUCGUCGGACAAAGUUAAGAAGAGAGGCGUGGUGAUAUAUGCAAAAGAGAGCCUGUCACCUAAAUUCUUAUUUAAAGAUGAACAUGGAAGAAUCUUGGCUAUUGAGAUACAAUAUCAAGGAGAGAAACUGUUGAUAUUAGGAAUCUAUGCACCUAAUGAAGGGAAAUCGGAAUUUUACAAGAAGCUGCAGGAGACAAUGCUGGACUAUCUGGAUUACAACAACAUCAUAAUGAUGGGAGAUAUGAAUGGGGUCGUAUCAACUAACAUGGACAAGUCACAAAGUCAAAAUGUUACAAAAGACGGCAGACUACCUAAAACCUUUUUGAAAUGACUGACAAUAUGGAUUUGAUUGACAUUUGGAGGACAAAGAACCCACUAGGAAGAGAGGGAACAUUCUUUUCUGAAGCCCAACUGACCUGGACAAGAAUCGACCAAAUAUGGAUUUCUAGAGGCCUGGCACCUAAGGUCAGAAAAGUGGAAAUCUGCCCAAAGACCUGUUCCGACCAUAAUGCAGUAAAGAUGGAUAUGACACUACUACCAACUGGAUCCUUUAGAUGGAAGAUGAAUGACAAUUUGUUUAGAGACCAGGAAAUUACCAAGAAGGCCCAAAAAGUUUUGAAGGAUUACUUUGAGAUAAAUAUGAAUACUACGGUGGAAAAAAGAAUCGUCUGGGACGCAAGCAAAGCUGUAAUGAGGGGAUUCUUGAUACAACAGAAUGCAGU